This 200-nucleotide microRNA precursor is filed under the name Medicago truncatula (barrel medic). RNAcentral's name for it is "MIR2670 microRNA precursor family". It matches the Rfam family "MIR2670 microRNA precursor family". The record is from Rfam by way of RNAcentral. Lineage: Eukaryota; Viridiplantae; Streptophyta; Magnoliopsida; Fabales; Fabaceae.
UCGGUAAAAUAGUGAGUAGCCGACACGGGGAAGUGAUCGACCCUUGGGAUAAGUUUAAAUUUGUUUUUUUUUUACUCCAUAAACUUUUUACCGUGGGUAAAAAGAUUCUUCUUGAGGUAUAAAAAAAAUCCAAUUUAAAUUUAGCCCAAGGGUUGAUGAUGUAUUUUUCACAUGAAGGCUGUUUCACUAUUUUACCCCAA